This 240-nucleotide ribosomal RNA is filed under the name uncultured bacterium. RNAcentral's name for it is "partial 16S ribosomal RNA". It matches the Rfam family "Bacterial small subunit ribosomal RNA", at positions 678 to 916 of the family's 1533-position model. The record is from RNAcentral.
GCGGUGAAAUGCGUAGAUAUCAGGAAGAACACCCAUGGCGAAGGCAGCUCUCUGGGACGGUACUGACGCUGAGACGCGAAAGCGUGGGGAGCGAACAGGAUUAGAUACCCUGGUAGUCCACGCCGUAAACGAUGGGUGCUAGGUGUGGGGGGUGUCGACUCCCUCCGUGCCGAAGCUAACGCAUUAAGCACCCCGCCUGGGGAGUACGGCCGCAAGGCUAAAACUCAAAGGAAUUGACGG